Molecule: ribosomal RNA, 253 nt
Filed under: uncultured bacterium
Lineage: Bacteria
Description: partial 16S ribosomal RNA
Rfam family: Bacterial small subunit ribosomal RNA
Source: RNAcentral
UACGGGGGGGGCAAGCGUUGUUCGGAAUUACUGGGCGUAAAGGGCUCGUAGGCGGCCAACUAAGUCAUACGUGAAAUCCCUCGGCUUAACCGGGGAACUGCGUCUGAUACUGGAUGGCUUGAGAUUGGGAGAGGGAUGCGGAAAUCCAGGUGUAGCGGUGAAAUGCGUAGAUAUCUGGAGGAACACCGGUGGCGAAGGCGGCAUCCUGGACCAACACUGACGCUGAGGAGCGAAAGCCAGGGGAGCAAACGGG